This 94-nucleotide transfer RNA is filed under the name Desulfovibrio sp. RNAcentral's name for it is "tRNA-Ser". It matches the Rfam family "tRNA". Rfam says of the family: Transfer RNA (tRNA) molecules are approximately 80 nucleotides in length. The record is from RNAcentral. RNAcentral also lists the same sequence under 2 other names. Lineage: Bacteria; Pseudomonadati; Thermodesulfobacteriota; Desulfovibrionia; Desulfovibrionales; Desulfovibrionaceae.
GGAGAGGUGUCCGAGUCGGCCGAAGGAGCUCGCCUGCUAAGCGGGUAUACGGUGUUGAGCUGUAUCGAGGGUUCAAAUCCCUCCCUCUCCGCCA